AUUGUUUCUUGGCCUUUUGGCUAAGAUCAAGUGUAAUAUCUGUUCUUUUCAGUUUUAAGACUGGUUGAGAGUCAGUUUUUUUUUGUUUUUUUUUUUUUUUUUGAGACAGGGUCUUGCUGUGUCACCAGGUUGGAGUGCAGCAGUGCCAUCUCGGCUUACUGUAA
Molecule: small nuclear RNA, 164 nt
Filed under: Callithrix jacchus (white-tufted-ear marmoset)
Lineage: Eukaryota; Metazoa; Chordata; Mammalia; Primates; Cebidae
Description: U2 spliceosomal RNA (ENSCJAG00000074930.1)
Rfam family: U2 spliceosomal RNA
About the family: U2 is a small nuclear RNA (snRNA) component of the spliceosome (involved in pre-mRNA splicing). Complementary binding between U2 snRNA (in an area lying towards the 5' end but 3' to hairpin I) and the branchpoint sequence (BPS) of the intron results the bulging out of an unpaired adenosine, on the BPS, which initiates a nucleophilic attack at the intronic 5' splice site, thus starting the first of two transesterification reactions that mediate splicing.
Source: Rfam by way of RNAcentral